Long non-coding RNA from Onychostoma macrolepis, 1181 nucleotides. RefSeq lists it as uncharacterized. NCBI's taxonomy places the organism in Eukaryota, Metazoa, Chordata, Actinopteri, Cypriniformes, Cyprinidae. The transcript is spliced from 4 exons. The record is from RefSeq and is a predicted model, not a curated record.
AUAGUGAAAUGUCAUACACUGUAAAUCAGUGGCAUUUGCUAAAUUAAAUUAGUUAAUUUAACAAAAAAAGUUAUUUCAACUCAAUAUAUAUGUGAUGUGAACUCAAAAUCUAAUUAGGUUAAGGGGAACUCAAUCUAAAUAAGUAUAAAUUAAUUUAAUCUACCAUAUGGUUAUUAUGUCUAAAUGGCUGACCACAAAAUAUUUUAAAGAAAAAUUUGCUUAAUUCAUGAUUUCUAACAUUGUUUUUCUAGAAAUCACGUUUGCUUUAUCUCUUUCAAUAUUAAUUAAAUAGCCUUCAUAACUAAAGAUAAUACAAUAAAUACAUAAAUCUGUUUCAUAUUAAGCAUAGAUCAAUCCUUUUAAAGAAAUUAAUUUUACUCGAGACAAAAUAUUAUCCGGGUGUUUUUCAAAAACCGCGCGCAUUUUUCAGUCAGUCACAUCCGCCCCUCCCCCACAGCUCACAGCCACGGGAUCACAGCCGGACGGCUCGCGACGCCGUCACGGAAAAUAACAGCUGGACACAGACAAACGAGUCCCGCGAAUUGUAUUUUUAAACUGGAGAGACAGCUGACAGGAUGUCGUCAUCUGUAACCGUCACUCGCCACAGUUCUCAAGAGAGUGCAAAGGCAGCGAGGGGUGGUGUGAUGUCAUUUGCAACAAGACGGCUGAUACUAAUAUGAGCCUAAAAUAAAGGACAAUAAUGGCAUCAGCCAUUCAAGUUAUGAUCCUGGCAGAUCUACUACUAUCUGAAAAGUAGUCUCUGCAGAUUGUUUCAAGAUACACAAGGUAGGACACAUGUCAGGACAACUUUAUAUUUACUUGGCAACAUUUUAAAAUUUUAGCUGAGAUCAGCAUAGUUAAAAAAAUAAUAAUAAUCUGUCAUGGUUUGCUCACCCUCAUGUUGUUCCAAAUUCAUUUUGAAUGAAUUUCAUUCAUCUUCAAACAAAUGUUUUUAUUUUUGAUUUUCAUUCAUCAUUUUUGUCUUUCCAUUGGAAGUCUUUAUUUUCAAGCUUCUAAAAGUUUAUAGUUUAGGCUUUGACACAUAAUAAAAAAAGCUACUUAUACCUUCUGUUAUUUAUCUUGUUUCUGAAUACCUGUAAAAUUUAAAGGAUUAACUAACAACUUGAGUGUAACUUGUUUUUUUGCUCUCAAUGCCAUUUUGACAAUGCAGUUUUUUUAAU